Alligator sinensis (Chinese alligator) is the source of this 594-nucleotide long non-coding RNA. RefSeq lists it as uncharacterized. The record is from RefSeq and is a predicted model, not a curated record. Lineage: Eukaryota; Metazoa; Chordata; Crocodylia; Alligatoridae. The transcript is spliced from 4 exons.
UGCCAGGGAGGGGUAUGAGAGUACGGUCUGUGGUGAGAGCUGGGUCACAACCAGCAGCCAACACUGGCAAAAGGUUGCCAGCCCCUGCCUUUGAUCACUUACCCAGGAGUGGAGCCCUCUAGGUUCUCUUCAGCCUAAGAGGAUUCAAACCCACAUCUCCCACUUUCCAGAUCUCCCUUUCCUGCCUCCCAGCUCCAGAAGGCCUCUCAUCUAUGAAGACGUUUGGCAGUGUUUGCUAGACAUUUAAAGCUGGUGAUGAAACAGGAAUCAUUGGAAAUCGGAAAGAAAGAUGUUGCUCAGCUGUGGGAGUGAAGAGGAAGUUGAAAUGUAUUUGACAUAGCAGUUCACCAUGAACUGAAAAAGAGUCAGCACUGAGGGACUGUGCACAAUGGAUACUAUUGAGAUGGACUGUGCUAACCUAGCCUUGUGAUGAUGGUCAUGAUGGGCAUGAUGUUUGGAAAUAAUGGUGCAGUGCAGACCACUGUUUAUGUGGCAUGUUAAAGCUUGGAAGUACCUUUGCAGGACCAUCCAUCAGAACAAGGAAGUUUUUUUACCUCCCUGCCUGCCACCUCCAGGGAAGGAAUUCUACCUGAU